Molecule: ribosomal RNA, 492 nt
Filed under: uncultured bacterium
Lineage: Bacteria
Description: partial 16S ribosomal RNA
Rfam family: Bacterial small subunit ribosomal RNA
Source: RNAcentral
AGUGAACGCUGGCGGUAGGCCUAACACAUGCAAGUCGAACGGCAGCACAGUAAGAGCUUGCUCUUACGGGUGGCGAGUGGCGGACGGGUGAGGAAUACAUCGGAAUCUACUUUUUCGUGGGGGAUAACGUAGGGAAACUUACGCUGAUACCGCAUACGACCUACGGGUGAAAGCAGUGGAUCUUCGGACCUUGCGCGAUUGAAUGAGCCGAUGUCGGAUUAGCUAGUUGGCGGGGUAAGGGCCCACCAAGGCGACGAUCCGUAGCUGGUCUGAGAGGAUGAUCAGCCACACUGGAACUGAGACACGGUCCAGACUCCUACGGGAGGCAGCAGUGGGGAAUAUUGGACAAUGGGCGCAAGCCUGAUCCAGCCAUACCGCGUGGGUGAAGAAGGCCUUCGGGUUGUAAAGCCCUUUUGUUGGGAAAGAAAAGCAGCAGGUUAAUACCCCGCUGUUCUGACGGUACCCAAAGAAUAAGCACCGGCUAACUUCGUG